CCUACGGGUGGCAGCAGUGGGGAAUAUUGCACAAUGGGCGCAAGCCUGAUGCAGCCAUGCCGCGUGUGUGAAGAAGGCCUUCGGGUUGUAAAGCACUUUCAGCGGGGAGGAAGGCGGUGAGGUUAAUAACCUCAUCGAUUGACGUUACCCGCAGAAGAAGCACCGGCUAACUCCGUGCCAGCAGCCGCGGUAAUACGGAGGGUGCAAGCGUUAAUCGGAAUUACUGGGCGUAAAGCGCACGCAGGCGGUCUGUCAAGUCGGAUGUGAAAUCCCCGGGCUCAACCUGGGAACUGCAUUCGAAACUGGCAGGCUAGAGUCUUGUAGAGGGGUGUAGAAUUCCAGGUGUAGCGGUGAAAUGCGUAGAGAUCUGGAGGAAUACCGGUGGCGAAGGCGGCCCCCUGGACAAAGACUGACGCUCAGGUGCGAAAGCGUGGGGAGCAAACAGGAUUAGAUACCCGGGUAGUC
Molecule: ribosomal RNA, 465 nt
Filed under: uncultured Klebsiella sp.
Lineage: Bacteria; Pseudomonadati; Pseudomonadota; Gammaproteobacteria; Enterobacterales; Enterobacteriaceae
Description: bacterial SSU rRNA
Rfam family: Bacterial small subunit ribosomal RNA
Source: RNAcentral